Molecule: ribosomal RNA, 253 nt
Filed under: uncultured bacterium
Lineage: Bacteria
Description: partial 16S ribosomal RNA
Rfam family: Bacterial small subunit ribosomal RNA
Source: RNAcentral
UACGAAGGGGGCUAGCGUUGCUCGGAAUCACUGGGCGUAAAGCGCACGUAGGCGGACUCUUAAGUCGGUGGUGAAAUCCUGGAGCUCAACUCCAGAACUGCCUUCGAUACUGAGAGUCUCGAGUCCGGGAGAGGUAAGUGGAACUGCGAGUGUAGAGGUGAAAUUCGUAGAUAUUCGCAAGAACACCAGUGGCGAAGGCGGCUCACUGGCCCGGUACUGACGCUGAGGUGCGAAAGCGUGGGGAGCAAACAGG